RNAcentral lists this long non-coding RNA (784 nucleotides) under Calidris pygmaea (Spoon-billed sandpiper). RNAcentral describes it as "lncRNA (ENSCPGG00000009747.1)". The record is from RNAcentral. Lineage: Eukaryota; Metazoa; Chordata; Aves; Charadriiformes; Scolopacidae.
GUUAAACAGUCCCAUGUAAGUAAGUGCUUUUGGGGGCUAAAAUAGGAAGUACAUACUUCCUAUUUCAUAGGCAAUUACACAGGCUUUCCCUGAAAGGGCGUGGUCUGCUGCUUUGAAAUGGGUAUUUGAGAUGCAUAGAAGAUAUUGCAGUUAUUUUGAAGACUUACUUGCCAAGAAAAUCCUGUGGUUGGUUAAUACCUUCUGUCUCCAGUUUUAAGGAAGUGGGGUUUUGCUGGUUUCUGCAUCAGAGGAUUCUGAUGCUGUCGGGGGAGGCUGGACAGGGAGAGUCACCCGUCAGGUCGCAUCAUCUGCCUCGCAGACAGCUCUGGAUCCAGAAAACAAGAAGCUCCAUAAUAAGUCAAGUAAGAGAAUAGCCACUGGGAAAUGAAAACAAUUGUCCUCUGAAGUAGGAUCAAACUUCUGCACAAAGGACAGUAUGAUCAUGAAAGAGAUUUUCAUCCUUCUGCUGAAUCUGAAUCUGGUCUUCAGUGUCCAAGCCAUUCGAGAGAGUAUCCCUAUGAAGAGCUUGAGCUGUUACAACGACUACAACUCACAGGUGACCUGCACAUGGGUGGAGCAUUCAGAGGCUCAUGCCCUCGUUGGUAUGAUUCUUUACCAAAGGGAUAAUAGUAUAAAGUAAGUACCUGAAACGUGCUAGUGGAUUUAUUUUACACUUUUACCUUUACAAAUUAUUUUCCCGUAAUUUUGUUGUGGGAUCAUAGAUAUGAAGUAAAUAUCAUAGAUAUGAAAUAAAAUUGGGCAUAUUGGUUGCUCUUGGAGUAAG